CCAGACUCCUACGGGAGGCAGCAGUAGGGAAUUUUGCGCAAUGGGGGAAACCCUGACGCAGCAACGCCGCGUGAUUGAUGAAGCCCUUCGGGGUGUAAAGAUCUGUCAGUGGGGACGAAACUUGACGGUACCCACAGAGGAAGCAUCGGCUAACUACGUGCCAGCAGCCGCGGUAAUACGUAGGGGGCAAGCGUUAUCCGGAUUUACUGGGUGUAAAGGGAGCGUAGACGGUGCAGCAAGUCUGAUGUGAAAGGUCGGGGCCCAACCCCGGGACUGCAUUGGAAACUGUUGAACUGGAGUACAGGAGAGGUAAGCGGAAUUCGUGGUGUAGCGGUGAAAUGCUUAGAUAUCACGAAGAACUCCGAUUGCGAAGGCAGCUUACUAAACUGCCACUGACAUUGAUGCUCGAAAGUGUGGGUAUCAAACAGGAUUAGAUACCCCAGUA
RNAcentral lists this ribosomal RNA (445 nucleotides) under uncultured bacterium. RNAcentral describes it as "bacterial SSU rRNA". It matches the Rfam family "Bacterial small subunit ribosomal RNA", at positions 331 to 792 of the family's 1533-position model. The record is from RNAcentral.